Columba livia (rock pigeon) is the source of this 4920-nucleotide long non-coding RNA. RefSeq lists it as uncharacterized. The record is from RefSeq and is a predicted model, not a curated record. The transcript is spliced from 4 exons. NCBI's taxonomy places the organism in Eukaryota, Metazoa, Chordata, Aves, Columbiformes, Columbidae.
UCCUUGACGUACAGUCAAAACCAGCAAGUUCAAAAAACUCUCAAGCAAGGACUGAGAUCCAUGGUGACUGCAUUCCUGCUUGUGUGGCUCUGCCUGGGUGCUGCUUCAGAGAUCCUUGGUUUGCAAGGAAAAAGAGAAUCAAUAUGGAGAGCAAUUUCUGAAGCUGAAAGAAGAGGAUGGAGUCCUGGUAGAAGAAGAAAUAUGGGCAAACUGUGGCUUCUGAGCAUCACCAAAGUAAAAUGAGAAACCUGGUAAUAGUUGGCAGAUUUAACAUGGACUUGCAUGACAGACCAAGGUGAAAAAACAAGAAAGACGAUGAGAAAGUUAUGCUACAACGUACCAGAAAGGUGGACAGGAUCAAAGAAAUGUACACUUCAAAAUUAUAGUACUGGUUUUUGUGGAGAUAGAACUAAUUUUCUUCAUAGCAGCUAGUAUGUGGCUAUGUUUUGGUUUUGUGCUGGAAAUAGUGUUGAUAAUACAAGGAUGUUCUAGUUAUUGCUAAGCAGUGCUUACACAGAGUCAAGGUCUUUUCUGCUUCUCACCACUCCACCAGCGAAUAGGCUGGGGAUGCACAAGGAGGUGGGAGGGGAUGCAGCUGGGACAGCUGACCCCAGCUGACCAAAGGAUAUUCCACACCAUAUGUUGUCAUGCUCAACAUGCAAAGCUGGGGGAAUAAAAAGAAAGGGGAGACAUUCAGAUUUAUGGCUUUUGUCUUCCCAAGUAACCAUCACACAUGAUGGAGCCCGACUUUCCUGGAGCUGGCUGAACACCUGCGUGGCAAUGAGAAGCUGUGAAUGAAUUCCUUGUUUUGCUUUCCUUGUGUGUGCGGCUUUUGCUUUACCUCUGAAACUGUCUUUAUCUCAAUCCAUGUUUUCUUCCAAUUGAUCUGUAAUUGCUCUAAAUUCCGAUUAAGAGUAAUCUUCCAAGUAUCUACCCCAUACCACCAGGGGGGAGUAAAUAAGUGGCUGUGUGGUGUUUAGUUGGCAUUGGGGGUUAAACCAUAACAUUCUUUAAUUAUUUAAGACAUAAAAUAGUCUGAAGAAUUGUAUUUUCAAUUUUCUGAAAAAAUAAUGAUUAACUUUUAGUUAAUAUCUAGAUUUUGGUAUUCAAAAAUUCCAAAACGAAAAAUGGAAGCACCUUUGAAUCUGAGAAAGUCCUGCAUCUCUUGUUGUUAUAAACAAAAAAUCAGCAAAGAUACAUGUUUCUUUAAGCAUGUGCAUAUCUUAUUGAUCCAGAGAUUUUCACAGAGACUUUUCUGAAAGACUUAGCCCUGCAGCUGCCCUAAUUUGGAAAGAAUUUCCCUUAAUCAGUAAAUAAUUGGAAAUAUAGUUGUUUUCUGUGUUCUUGUGAAAAAAAUUCCACUACAACAAUAAACAAUUAUGGAACACUGAAAGUAGCAAUGGCAAUAGAUUUAGUAAGAAACCUAACCUUAUGGUUUCCAGUUAAUGAACCUUGUGGAGUAUUAUAGGGAAGUUUUUCUGCAAUGCUUAGAAAACAGACCAUACGGAGCAAAAUCAGUGCAAAACCGAAAAUUAAUGAACCCAGAUUGAGGACUAGAACGUCAUCUUGUGCUGCCUGCAAAAACAGCCUACAAGGCAGGAAAUGGUGUUAGACAUUAUAUGGUUAUUCCCCAGUCUCCUCCUGGAUAAUUGUACCAGUGUAACCUUAGGGUGCUUGUUUCAGAGACCACACACUGUCUCAUGCUUGGUCCCUACUCCCACUAGAAAGCAUGAGAAGCUUUCUUCCUUCACUUGACAACAACACCAGAAACUGAACACCUUUGUGUGUUGCUUCACUGCCUAAAUUAUAUAGCAGACAUUAUCCUAUUGGAUAUUAUUUCUAAUGUUAGCAAAACAAAAUGGUGCAAAGUAAACAAUUAGACAAGCAUUUCACUGUGUCCCUAGUACAAUAAUGUUGUGAAGUUCUCCUCCAUUCAAACUGCUCUGAAUUAGUACUCUUGAUAAAGACAGUAGGUUGUGCUUUGCAAUGAGCUUGUCUGCUUCACUGAAGACUUCUGUUGAACUUAACAGGAUGACGCAGAAAGAACAAGUAAGGCUUCUUAGGUCUGGUGAACCACCCAUGUUCAUUUCCUAUGUUCUACAUAUAUAUUUUUAAGGAUUGUUGUUUCAGACACCUGUAAAAAAAUAAAAUGAAAUAAAAUAAAAUAAAAUAAAAUAAAAUAAAAUAAAAUAAAAUAAAAUAAAAUAAAAUAAAAUAAAAUAAACAUAGCAUGUUGUAAUCCAAAUCUACAUGCAAAUAGAGCAAAAUAUUCAGCUGAAUUGAGAUUAAAAAAAACAACCACAGAAGAAAGGAAAAUGAAGAAGAGAAAUUUUAUAAAAAAUGUUCAGCUUCCAUUAGUGAAAAUUAGAAUGUAAUAAAUUAAAACAUCCUUACUGCAGGGCUUAUAUCUGCAAUGUAAGUUCAAUCUUGAUAAAAGAAAAUUUGUCAAAAUGUUUAAUAAUAAAAUCUGAGAAAUUUUGGAGUACCUUCUGCAUAUGAACUUGCUUGCAGAAGAUAAAGUUUAAUUAACCCAGGAAGUGCCAUGUGUCUCCUGUAAAAAACAACUAAAAAUAUAGCCUGAUUUCAAUGAAAAGACAGUAUUCAUGCUGUGUAUGCUGCCCAGCUGAGAGAAACUGUUUAUCCACAGAUUAUAAACAUUUCAAAGCAUGUCAUCUUUGUUAGAAAAAACCCUAACACUCAUAAAUCAAGAAAUAUCAUGGCAUUUUCUCUGGCAUGAUUGUAUAUUGUUCUAAUAAAAUUGUUGUUUUAUAUUUUAUUUAAUAUUAAAGUUGUUCAAUAAAUGUUUUUGGUUGAGUCUAAAAAGUCAGUUUUAAAGACAGUUAUACUAAAUUUGUGUUAAAAAAGACCCCUAUGUUAAAUACCUUUUAGACAUAAUAGCUUUAAACUACUUUCGUGACAGUGGACAGAAAUAAUCUUUUUAAGUUUUUUAAAGCUUAAAAUUAUACUGUAUCUAAGGGCAAAAUCAUCCUGGAUAAUUUUAUACACACUCACUUCAAUGACUAAUGAAACUCCAGAAUUAAACUGUUAGUUGAAAUAAAAGAAAAAUGACAAAUUGCAUUUUUAUGGAAUAUUUCAGAUGUUAGCUUGUAGUAUUUUGGCUUAAUUAUCCCAGAAAAUGCUUGUAAUUAUGUUUUUACAUUGUGACUGUUUUCUCUGUAGAACUGUGCAUUUCACAGGAAAAACAAUUAUGUUGCAAACAUCAGACUACCUAAGGCAUGUGUGUACUUCAUUUUAAGUUUCAGAGCAGCACUGAAAAUGCUCAGACAAAUGAGCUGUGGGAGAAAUCCAAGCCCAAAUAAAGGUGGAAUGAGUGGAAAUGAGCAGAGCAGGGCUGGGAGAUCAGGCCUUUGGGCUUGUUACAACUUUUAAAAAUAUAUUCUUAAAAUAAUUACAUAUUGUUAUCAAUAUUAUAUAUAUUUUAAUAUAUAACUACAAAAAAGUCUGCAUAUGUACACAAAUACAUACACGCAUCCUUUAUAGGAAAACUAUCCACUGUCCUCUCCAUCACUGACCAGUCUCCUUUUGAUUUUUCUGUAAAUAAAUCUCUUUCAGGUUCUUUCAUUAUAUGUAAUUCCUACUAACCAUUAAACAAACACACAGAACUAUCCAUGUCAUACGCAACCUCCCAUAGGUCCAUUAUUUCCCCUGUAAGAAUUUAUUUACUGUGUUCAUAUCUCAUUUGAUAUUUUUCUCUCUUCAGUUAUGGCAUUUAAAAUAAUAAAUUUGAGCAUGCUGUUGUCCCUACUCUGAACAUUCAGAUGUGCUUUAAGGACCAUUAACAUCUCUUUAUUUACAUUUUUAUUUUUGUCAUUUGGGAACUGAUCCAUUAUACUUCAAUAUAGCUUCUGUGUGUAGUCUUUAACAAAUGAUGCUAUAAAGUCAGCAUUUUUAGACUUAGAAGUUAUAAGAACCCUAGAGUUGAGACUUCCUCUUAAGUUUCACAAAGUUUAGCUUUCUUAAGUCAUCAGAUUCACUGACUAGUUACACCACUUUUUGCCACCAUUUGACAGAAAAAUUUCCCUAGGAAAAAAUACAGCAGUCCAAACUGCUCUUUUAAGGAACGUUCCCCCAGACCCUACAGUUGCUGACUUCCAAAUACACACUGUGCUCUUCAUCUCCAAAUGCUGAGGAGUACUGAAAAUUAGUUACGACUGCUGUCAAAGAAUUUUCCCAGUAGCUCAAUGUUAGAAAGUUAUUGUUAGAAGUUAAUUGGUCAUUAAUUGCUUAAGAUCAUUAAUGAUUUUAUGAUGCUCUACUUCAGUGAGAUUUAAAAUAUUAAUCACCGGCAGAAGAAAAAUGUCUCAGUUUCCUCUUCCUUUACUUUUAUGCAAUUUAACUGGGUAACUGGACUGGAUUAAUCUUACUACACUAUGGAUUUCUAAAAUUAAUAUGAACAAAAGUUACCAGUUGUGAAUAAAUAAAAAAUAUGACUGGAUUCAGACUGAACAGCUGCACACCAGCUGUACAGCUGCAUACAGUGCAGGUUUGUGCACUGUAGCUCUCUCUUCUGCAGGGUUUUUUGAAAGAAUUAUUGUGGUUCUGAACUCCCAGUGUUUAAUGUGACUUGACUUUUUCCUUAUUCUCACUUCUCAUGCUCACCAUAGUAAAAAUUCACAUUGAUGUGGCAUGAUAAGCAGGCAAGGCUUUAAAAUCACCACUUAAACUCAUUUCAUGGCUUGUCAUAUACUCCUGGAUGCUCCUGCCCAGUGCCAACAAAAAAAAUUGAUAUUGUAUGAAAUCAAAAGAACCAGGAACAUAACAUUAGUUGAAGUGUAGAAAAAUGUGUUUAUAUACACUGAGGUCUAAUUCAAAUGCUAAAUUGACCAAUUUUCUGAUAUUUGAAGUGGAAUUGUAAAUAAUUAGUUAGACACAAAACUGGUGAUUGUGUUAGCCUGCAUC